UCAGCACUACAACCAGACGGCAGCUCA
RNAcentral lists this non-coding RNA (27 nucleotides) under Bombyx mori (domestic silkworm). The record is from RNAcentral. Lineage: Eukaryota; Metazoa; Arthropoda; Insecta; Lepidoptera; Bombycidae.